GGGGAAUAUUGGGCAAUGGGCGAAAGCCUGACCCAGCAACGCCGCGUGAAGGGAGAAGGCCCUCGGGUUGUAAACUUCUUUUAUCAAGGACGAAAAAAAUGACGGUACUUGAUGAAUAAGCCACGGCUAACUACGUGCCAGCAGCCGCGGUAAUACGUAGGUGGCAAGCGUUAUCCGGAUUUACUGGGUGUAAAGGGCGUGUAGGCGGGACUGUAAGUCAGAUGUGAAAACCAUGGGCUCAACCCAUGGCCUGCAUUUGAAACUAUAGUUCUUGAGUGUCGGAGAGGUAAUCGGAAUUCCGUGUGUAGCGGUGAAAUGCGUAGAUAUACGGAGGAACACCAGUGGCGAAGGCGGAUUACUGGACGAUAACUGACGCUGAGGCGCGAAAGCGUGGGGAGCAAAC
This 403-nucleotide ribosomal RNA is filed under the name uncultured bacterium. RNAcentral's name for it is "bacterial SSU rRNA". It matches the Rfam family "Bacterial small subunit ribosomal RNA", at positions 356 to 773 of the family's 1533-position model. The record is from RNAcentral.